This 849-nucleotide ribosomal RNA is filed under the name uncultured bacterium. RNAcentral describes it as "bacterial SSU rRNA". It matches the Rfam family "Bacterial small subunit ribosomal RNA", at positions 55 to 917 of the family's 1533-position model. The record is from RNAcentral.
AUGCAAGUCGAACGAGCGAGAGAGAGCUUGCUUUCUCGAGCGAGUGGCGAACGGGUGAGUAACGCGUGAGGAACCUGCCUCAAAGAGGGGGACAACAGUUGGAAACGACUGCUAAUACCGCAUAAGCCCACGACCCGGCAUCGGGUAGAGGGAAAAGGAGCAAUCCGCUUUGAGAUGGCCUCGCGUCCGAUUAGCUAGUUGGUGAGGUAACGGCCCACCAAGGCGACGAUCGGUAGCCGGACUGAGAGGUUGAACGGCCACAUUGGGACUGAGACACGGCCCAGACUCCUACGGGAGGCAGCAGUGGGGAAUAUUGCACAAUGGGGGAAACCCUGAUGCAGCGACGCCGCGUGGAGGAAGAAGGUCUUCGGAUUGUAAACUCCUGUUGUUGAGGAAGAUAAUGACGGUACUCAACAAGGAAGUGACGGCUAACUACGUGCCAGCAGCCGCGGUAAAACGUAGGUCACAAGCGUUGUCCGGAAUUACUGGGUGUAAAGGGAGCGCAGGCGGGAAGACAAGUUGGAAGUGAAAUCCAUGGGCUCAACCCAUGAACUGCUUUCAAAACUGUUUUUCUUGAGUAGUGCAGAGGUAGGCGGAAUUCCCGGUGUAGCGGUGGAAUGCGUAGAUAUCGGGAGGAACACCAGUGGCGAAGGCGGCCUACUGGGCACCAACUGACGCUGAGGCUCGAAAGUGUGGGUAGCAAACAGGAUUAGAUACCCUGGUAGUCCACACCGUAAACGAUGAUUACUAGGUGUUGGAGGAUUGACCCCUUCAGUGCCGCAGUUAACACAAUAAGUAAUCCACCUGGGGAGUACGACCGCAAGGUUGAAACUCAAAGGAAUUGACGGG